GCACAAGCGGUGGAGCAUGUGGUUUAAUUCGAUGCAACGCGAAGAACCUUACCUGGGCUUGACAUCCCGGGAAUCCCCUGGAAACAGGGGAGUGCCCUUCGGGAACCCGGUGACAGGUGCUGCAUGGCUGUCGUCAGCUCGUGUCGUGAGAUGUUGGGUUAAGUCCCGCAACGAGCGCAACCCUUGUCUUUAAUUGCCAUCAUUUAGUUGGGCACUUUAAAGAGACUGCCGGUGUUAAACCGGAGGAAGGUGGGGAUGACGUCAAGUCCUCAUGGCCUUUAUGCUUAGGGCUACACACGUGCUACAAUGGGUGGUACAAAGAGAAGCCAACUCGCGAGAGCGCGCCAAUCUCAAAAAGCCAUCCUCAGUUCGGAUUGGAGUCUGCAACUCGACUCCAUGAAGUUGGAAUCGCUAGUAAUCGCGGAUCAGCAUGCCCGCGGUCGAAUACGUUCCGGGCCUU
Molecule: ribosomal RNA, 460 nt
Filed under: uncultured Smithella sp.
Lineage: Bacteria; Pseudomonadati; Thermodesulfobacteriota; Syntrophia; Syntrophales; Smithellaceae
Description: bacterial SSU rRNA
Rfam family: Bacterial small subunit ribosomal RNA
Source: RNAcentral